UGACACUGGUGUCUUUGGGACACAACACUAGAGAGGUGACACUGGUGUCUUUGGAACACAGCACUAAAGAGGUGACACUGGGGUAUUUGGGAC
Haliotis rubra (blacklip abalone) is the source of this 93-nucleotide long non-coding RNA. RefSeq lists it as uncharacterized. Lineage: Eukaryota; Metazoa; Mollusca; Gastropoda; Lepetellida; Haliotidae. The record is from RefSeq and is a predicted model, not a curated record. The transcript is spliced from 3 exons.